GCCGGGUGUGGUGGCACGUGCCUGUAGUCCCAGCUACUCAGGAGGCUGAGGUGGGAGGAUCGCUUGAGUCCAGGAGUUCUGGGCUGUAGUGAGCUAUGCCGGUCGGGUGUCUGCACUAAGUUUGGCAUCAGUAUGGUGACUUCCUGGGAGUGGGAGUCCACCAGGUUGCCUAAGGAGGCGUGAACCAGCCCAGGUCAGAAACGGAGCAGGUCAAAACUCCCGUGCUGAUCAGUAGUGAGACAUGCCCGUGAAUAGCCACUGCACUCCAGCCUGGGCAACAUAGCAAGACCCCGUCUCUA
Callithrix jacchus (white-tufted-ear marmoset) is the source of this 299-nucleotide unclassified non-coding RNA. It matches the Rfam family "Metazoan signal recognition particle RNA". From Rfam's summary of the family: The signal recognition particle (SRP) is a universally conserved ribonucleoprotein. It is involved in the co-translational targeting of proteins to membranes. The record is from Ensembl. Lineage: Eukaryota; Metazoa; Chordata; Mammalia; Primates; Cebidae.